This 478-nucleotide ribosomal RNA is filed under the name uncultured bacterium. RNAcentral's name for it is "bacterial SSU rRNA". It matches the Rfam family "Bacterial small subunit ribosomal RNA", at positions 28 to 522 of the family's 1533-position model. The record is from RNAcentral.
GACGAACGCUGGCGGCGUGCUUAACACAUGCAAGUCGAACGGUGAAGCCCUUCGGGGUGGAUCAGUGGCGAACGGGUGAGUAACACGUGAGCAAUCUGCCCCUGACUCUGGGAUAACUUCGGGAAACCGGAGCUAAUACCGGAUAUGACACAUGACCGCAUGGUCUGUGUGUGGAAAGAUUUAUCGGUUGGGGAUGAGCUCGCGGCCUAUCAGCUUGUUGGUGGGGUAAUGGCCUACCAAGGCGACGACGGGUAGCCGGCCUGAGAGGGCGACCGGCCACACUGGGACUGAGACACGGCCCAGACUCCUACGGGAGGCAGCAGUGGGGAAUAUUGCGCAAUGGGCGAAAGCCUGACGCAGCGACGCCGCGUGAGGGAUGAAGGCCUUCGGGUCGUAAACCUCUUUCAGCAGGGAAGAAGCGAAAGUGACGGUACCUGCAGAAGAAGCACCGGCUAACUACGUGCCAGCAGCCGCCGUA